AGAGUUUGAUCCUGGCUCAGGAUGAACGCUAGCGGCAGGCUUAACACAUGCAAGUCGAGGGGCAGCACAGGUGGCAACACCGGGUGGCGACCGGCGCAAGGGUGCGUAACACGUGAGCAACAUACCCGUUUCAGGAGGAUAACCGGAGGAAACUCUGCCUAAUACUCCAUGACAUCAUCAAACGGCAUCGUUUAAUGAUUAAAGAUUCAUCGGAAACGGCUUGGCUCGCGGGACAUUAGCUUGUUGGUGAGGUAACGGCUCACCAAGGCCACGAUGUCUAGGGGUUCUGAGAGGAAGGUCCCCCACACUGGAACUGAGACACGGUCCAGACUCCUACGGGAGGCAGCAGUGAGGAAUAUUGGACAAUGGUCGGAAGACUGAU
RNAcentral lists this ribosomal RNA (382 nucleotides) under uncultured bacterium. Its description in RNAcentral is "bacterial SSU rRNA". It matches the Rfam family "Bacterial small subunit ribosomal RNA", at positions 8 to 387 of the family's 1533-position model. The record is from RNAcentral.